GGGGGAUAACACUUAGAAAUAGGUGCUAAUACCGCAUAAGCGCACAGCUUCGCAUGAAGGAGUGUGAAAAACUAAGGUGGUAUAUGAUGGAUCCGCGUCUGAUUAGCCAGUUGGUGAGGUAACGGCUCACCAAAGCGACGAUCAGUAGCCGGCCUGAGAGGGCGGACGGCCACAUUGGGACUGAGACACGGCCCAGACUCCUGCGGGAGGCAGCAGUGGGGGAUAUUGCACAAUGGGGGAAACCCUGAUGCAGCGACGCCGCGUGAGUGAAGAAGUAAUUCGUUACGUAAAGCUCUAUCAGCAGGGAAGAAAAUGACGGUACCUGACUAAGAAGCCCCGGCUAACUACGUGCCAGCAGCCGCGGUAAUACGUAGGGGGCAAGCGUUAUCCGGAAUUACUGGGUGUAAAGGGAGCGCAGACGGCAGUGCAAGUCUGGAGUGAAAGCCCGUGGCUUAACUACGGGACUGCUCUGGAAACUGUGCAGCUAGAGUGCAGGAGAGGCAGGCGGAAUUCCUAGUGUAGCGGUGAAAUGCGUAGAUAUUAGGAGGAACACCGGUGGCGAAGGCGGCCUGCUGGACUGUAACUGACGUUGAGGCUCGAAAGCGUGGGGAGCAAACAGGAUUAGAUACCCUGGUAGUCCACGCCGUAAAC
RNAcentral lists this ribosomal RNA (651 nucleotides) under uncultured bacterium. RNAcentral's name for it is "bacterial SSU rRNA". It matches the Rfam family "Bacterial small subunit ribosomal RNA", at positions 138 to 807 of the family's 1533-position model. The record is from RNAcentral.